GCCCCGGGCUUAAGAGAUGAGUGAAC
Molecule: non-coding RNA, 26 nt
Filed under: Homo sapiens (human)
Lineage: Eukaryota; Metazoa; Chordata; Mammalia; Primates; Hominidae
Source: RNAcentral